Molecule: transfer RNA, 81 nt
Filed under: Acidobacteria bacterium 13_1_40CM_56_16
Lineage: Bacteria; Pseudomonadati; Acidobacteriota
Description: tRNA-Arg
Source: RNAcentral
GCGUUUUGCAAUCCUGUUUGGAAAGUGACUACUUGUCUCCGGAACCAGAGGUCGGAGGUUCAAAUCCUCUCAGGCGCGCCA